This 1033-nucleotide long non-coding RNA is filed under the name Gallus gallus (chicken). RNAcentral describes it as "lncRNA (ENSGALG00010026852.1)". Lineage: Eukaryota; Metazoa; Chordata; Aves; Galliformes; Phasianidae. The record is from RNAcentral.
CCUAAGCAAGAAACACGUUGAAUUGCCAAGUGUACUAUGUCUAGGAAAAAAAAAAAGACAAAACAUCAAAAUCUGUUGUAAGGGGUCACAGUAGAUCAUUUUUCCCUUGGACAGCUAUUCCUCCUUCAAGAACAAUCAUGGUCAGAUGUUUGACUUGCAGGGGAUUUAAAAUUAGUGCUUGGGUAUGAAAGACACAAGUGUGAGGUCUCAACUAUAUUAUUAGCCCAGUGCUGCCUAUUCAGAUUUAUAUUUUGCAUAAAAGACAGAAGGAUUUGAAUGGAAGUGCGUGGUCUUUCUCUCAUGGCAACAGAUAUCAGUAAUAUGUCUGUUUGAGACUUGGAGAAAAGAAGGACCAACUGUUUGUUAGUGGAAGUGAUAUGUCCUGCAAAUAAAAGGCAAAAUGAGAUGAACUGAGCACCUGUGCAAACCGGAGCAGUGAUUGCAACAGCAUGCAGUUAUACGAUGUGUACCUGGCGCUGUACUGCACGGAUGUCAGCCUUAAAAUACCAACACCAAGGUCCUAAUUAAAACAUGCACGUUGUUUGGCAACCAGUAGCAUUUGAAAUCAAGGAUUCACAGGAUCAGGCUUUUCUCUCAGAUCUUGUCUCCUCUGCAUUCCAAGUGAACUGAUUGAUUACUUUUGGAUGAGAUUUGGACAUUGAUUGAAAGAGCAGAAGAAGAAGCAGAAGAAGAGUAGUAUCACCUUCUGAGGAAUGCACUAAAUGUGUACUCCAUGCUUUAACAACAAUGAUGCCAACCUAAAAUUGAUGAGCAGAUCUAUGAAGAAAAGCCUAGAAAAGAAUAGCACAGGGAACGCAGGCCCAUCUGGAAGGCUGUAAUGCCUCGUGUUUUCCAUCCUGGCUGCUGGUGCUGGUGAUACCAUCAGUGUGAAUUUCAGAUCAGCAGAUAUAAUUGAUGAUGGACUGAAAAUCAGCAUCUACAUAUCAAGACCCAGGAGCGAUACAUUAUGCAUCAAGUUCGCACCAAGGGAUGUUGAAAUAAUGCCUGAGACUGUUGGAGAGAAUGGGUGCAG